AGAGGACCAGAGUGGACGAACCUCUGGUGUACCGGUUGUGACGCCAGUCGCAUCGCCGGGUAGCUAUGUUCGGAAGGGAUAACCGCUGAAAGCAUCUAAGCGGGAAGCCUACCUCAAGAUAAGAUUUCCCUAGGACUUUAUGUCCUCUAAAGAGCCGUUGAAGACUACGACGUUGAUAGGUUGGAUGUGGAAGCAUAGUGAUAUGUGAAGCUGACCAAUACUAAUUGCUCGUGAGGCUUGACUAUACAACACCCAAACAGUUG
This 263-nucleotide ribosomal RNA is filed under the name Acinetobacter pseudolwoffii. Its description in RNAcentral is "Acinetobacter sp. ANC 5044 partial 23S ribosomal RNA". It matches the Rfam family "Bacterial large subunit ribosomal RNA", at positions 2686 to 2925 of the family's 2925-position model. The record is from RNAcentral. Lineage: Bacteria; Pseudomonadati; Pseudomonadota; Gammaproteobacteria; Moraxellales; Moraxellaceae.